Molecule: transfer RNA, 85 nt
Filed under: Faecalibacterium sp. CAG:74
Lineage: Bacteria; Bacillati; Bacillota; Clostridia; Eubacteriales; Oscillospiraceae
Also listed under: 10 other names
Description: transfer RNA-Leu(GAG)
Rfam family: tRNA
About the family: Transfer RNA (tRNA) molecules are approximately 80 nucleotides in length. Their secondary structure includes four short double-helical elements and three loops (D, anti-codon, and T loops).
Source: RNAcentral
GCGGCCGUGGCGGAAUUGGCAUACGCGCACGUUUGAGGGGCGUGUCCAGCAAUGGGUACGGGUUCAAGUCCCGUCGGCCGCACCA